Molecule: non-coding RNA, 30 nt
Filed under: Rattus norvegicus (Norway rat)
Lineage: Eukaryota; Metazoa; Chordata; Mammalia; Rodentia; Muridae
Source: RNAcentral
UAAUGAGAUGAGAGAUGCCUUCCCCUUAGC